This 228-nucleotide unclassified non-coding RNA is filed under the name plant metagenome. Its description in RNAcentral is "partial contains small subunit ribosomal RNA, internal transcribed spacer 1, and 5.8S ribosomal RNA". The record is from RNAcentral.
UUUCCGUAGGUGAACCUGCGGAAGGAUCAUUAUUGAGUUCAUGCCCUUACGGGUAGAUCUCCACCCUAUGUUAUCGUUACCUUUGUUGCUUUGGCGGGCCGUCAGGCCUCGGUCAGACUACCGGCUCCGGCUGGUAAGUGCCCGCCAGAGGAUAUCAAACCUUGAAUUUAAUGUCGUCUGAGUACUAUAUAAUAGUUAAAACUUUCAACAACGGAUCUCUUGGUUCUG